This is a long non-coding RNA of Mastomys coucha (southern multimammate mouse), 457 nucleotides long. RefSeq lists it as uncharacterized. The transcript is spliced from 4 exons. The record is from RefSeq and is a predicted model, not a curated record. NCBI's taxonomy places the organism in Eukaryota, Metazoa, Chordata, Mammalia, Rodentia, Muridae.
UGGGUGUCACGGCUAACUGUUGGUUAAGACAGUUUGCUGUGUUUAAACGAGGUUUUAUCACCAAAGCUGGGGAUGGGUUUUACAAUAUUUUGUCUAGGUGUCCAAACAGGAAGAGUGCUUGCCUUCGGUCUAGGACCUGUCUCCCGACUUCACUGCUUAUAGGCCAAGUUAUUCGGGGGAGCGAGGAGGACCACAACCUGGAAUAAGAACGGUGCCUGUUCCAUUAUUCUCCAUCCAUUUCCAGAGGCAACUGUUCUUGUGGUGUUUCUCAUUGAUGGUCUAGAAUGUUAGAUGAAUGCAUGGUGGUGUAUGAUUAGAGCACUUGGUGAUCUGCAUAGAAGCCUGAGAUAAGAGAGGAACAGUAACAAUAGCAACAGAAACAACAACAACAACAACAAGAGCAACAGCACAAGCAGGAACAACAGCAGCAGCAACAGCAGCAACAACAGCAGCAACA